CAUCGGCAUUGUGUGCGUUAUCUUUAACAAAAAUUAGACCAUUCUGUAUAUCUAUCUGUAAAAAAAAGUGUUAUCAUGUUCUGUAAGAUGUCUAUGAGUUUACUUGGUAUAGCAUUUCUUUUCUUAAUCCUUGUUGCGGACGGUGAAGCUCAGUUAAAUUUUUCUACCGGGUGGGGCCAAGGUAAAAGGAGUCAAGAUACGCGAAUUAGAUCGAGUAAUAUGGAUUGUUCGCCGCAAGGUGCAUCGCUGGAACAAUUAUUAAAGUUAUAUUCGUUUAUACAGAUGGAAGCUCAAAGGAUCUUGGAUUGCCAAACCUUGAACAAGUGAACCACGAAAAUGUCAUUGGUCUUAUCAAAAUCGGAUUUGUGCCAGAAUAUAUUGUCAGCUUAAAGUAAAAUAAUACAAUUUGAAUAACGUAAUAAGUUGCCAUAUAUCUUAUAAUUUUUUUUCUAUUGCGUAGAUGACAGAUUAGUGUACAUGGCAGAUAUCGAUGUAGAUCAUUUUUUAUUUAUUAUAUAUAUAUAUAUAUAUAUCUCAAAUAAUGUUUGAAUUUCCU
Molecule: long non-coding RNA, 556 nt
Organism: Acromyrmex echinatior (Panamanian leafcutter ant)
Lineage: Eukaryota; Metazoa; Arthropoda; Insecta; Hymenoptera; Formicidae
Source: RefSeq, a predicted model, not a curated record